Molecule: ribosomal RNA, 470 nt
Filed under: uncultured bacterium
Lineage: Bacteria
Description: SSU rRNA
Rfam family: Bacterial small subunit ribosomal RNA
Source: RNAcentral
AGGAUAAACGCUGGCGGCGUGCCUAACACAUGCAAGUCGAACGUCUCUUUCUUCGGGAAGAGGAGUGGCGGACGGGUGAGGAACACGUGGGAACCUGCCCUUUAGUGAGGAAUACCGGCGAGAAAUCGCCGACAAGACCGCAUAGCCCUCUUUGAUGAGAGUCAAAGAAGGAAAGCUUCGCAAGAGGCGCUAGAGGAGGGGCCUGCGUCCGAUUAGCUAGUUGGUGGGGUAAGAGCCUACCAAGGCGUCGAUCGGUAGCUGGUCUGAGAGGACGAUCAGCCACACUGGGAUUGAGAACGGCCCAGACUCCUACGGGGGCAGCAGUGAGGAAUUUUCGGCAAUGGGGGAAACCCUGACCGAGCAACGCCGCGUGCAGGAAGACGGCCUUCGGGUUGUAAACUGCUUUCUCGGGGACGAGCAAGGACGGUACCCGAGGAAGAAGCCCCGGCUAACUACGUGCCAGCAGCCGC